Molecule: ribosomal RNA, 1166 nt
Filed under: Porphyromonadaceae bacterium
Lineage: Bacteria; Pseudomonadati; Bacteroidota; Bacteroidia; Bacteroidales; Porphyromonadaceae
Description: partial 23S ribosomal RNA
Rfam family: Bacterial large subunit ribosomal RNA
Source: RNAcentral
GGGUGAGAGCGUGCCUUUUGUAGAAUGAACCGGCGAGUUACGAUAUGAUGCGAGGUUAAGUUGAAGAGACGGAGCCGUAGGGAAACCGAGUCUGAAUAGGGCGCAUUAGUAUCAUGUCGUAGACCCGAAACCAUGUGACCUACCCAUGAGCAGGUUGAAGGUGCGGUAAAACGCACUGGAGGACCGAACCAGGGCACGUUGAAAAGUGCUUGGAUGACUUGUGGGUAGCGGAGAAAUUCCAAACGAACUUGGAGAUAGCUGGUUCUCUCCGAAAUAGCUUUAGGGCUAGCGUCGACAUAAAGAUUCUUGGAGGUAGAGCACUGUUUGGGUGAGGGGUCCAUCCCGGAUUACCAAUCUCAGAUAAACUCCGAAUGCCAAUGAAUUAUGGUCGGCAGUCAGACUGCGAGUGCUAAGAUCCGUAGUCGAAAGGGAAACAGCCCAGACCACCAGCUAAGGUCCCAAAAUAUCUGUUAAGUGGAAAAGGAUGUGGGGUUGCACAGACAACUAGGAUGUUAGCUUAGAAGCAGCUAUUCAUUCAAAGAGUGCGUAAUAGCUCACUAGUCGAGUGACCCUGCGCCGAAAAUGUACCGGGGCUAAAACAAUUUACCGAAGCUGUGGAUACCUUUAUAGGUAUGGUAGGAGAGCGUUCUAUGUGUGAAGAAGGUGUACCGUGAGGAGUGCUGGAACGCAUAGAAGUGAGAAUGCCGGUAUGAGUAGCGAAAGACAGGUGAGAAUCCUGUCCACCGUAAGACUAAGGUUUCCAGGGGAAGGCUCGUCCGCCCUGGGUUAGUCGGGACCUAAGGAGAGACCGAAAGGUGUAUCCGAUGGACAACAGGUUGAUAUUCCUGUACUAGAGUAUGUAGUGAUGGAGGGACGCAGUAGGCUAACUAAAGCAGACGAUUGGAAGUGUCUGUCUAAGCAGUGAGGUGUGAACUGAGUCAAAUGCUUAGUUCUAUAACAUUGAGCUGUGAUGGGGAGCGAAGUUUAGUAGCGAAGUUAGUGACGUCACACUGCCAAGAAAAGCUUCUAGCGUUUAAACAUACUCUACCCGUACCGCAAACCGACACAGGUAGUCGAGGCGAGUAGCCUCAGGUGAGCGAGAGAACUCUCGUUAAGGAACUCGGCAAAAUGACCCCGUAACUUCGGGAGAAGGGGUGCUGACUUUA